Molecule: long non-coding RNA, 469 nt
Organism: Zonotrichia leucophrys gambelii
Lineage: Eukaryota; Metazoa; Chordata; Aves; Passeriformes; Passerellidae
Exons: 3
Source: RefSeq, a predicted model, not a curated record
GAAGAGUCAGUGCUUGGAGGAGAUGCCUACAAGAAACAUCAAGGAGGUUGUUUUUUCCAGAUUAUUUUUGCCUUGGAUCAGAGUUCCCAAAACAUCCAUCGACUCUGAAAGCCCAGGCAAUUCUGCAGGGGGACAAUGGCUUUGGCACACUUUGUUCUCUCAUGCAGAGGAUGGACAAGAGUGAUUGCUGAUGAGAUAACAGCGUGACCCAAGAGACUCAGCCCAUGUCUGCAAAGUGAUGUAAAAAUUCUCCCCUGCACACUGUGGUUAAACCAAAUCACCCUGGGCUCAGACAGAACUGCAUUUUAUCAAAUAUUAAGCAAGUUAAUAUAAUUUUUCCCCCCCCUUAUUCAGGGCUUUCUUGAUCUCUGGCCACACAGAUCUGUUUCUCUUCCAUUAGGGUAGGGAAGAAGAUGCCUAAAAUUGGUGCAAAAAGCCUUGGGAAGUGGCUUCCACGUGAGAAGCCCUG